GGGCGUCGCCUCAGCCCGGUGUCCAGGGUCUAGUAGCGCCCCACUCACUGUGGGAGAAAGCCAAGCAGCCGCUAUCCUUGCCAUAUGCCGGACCAGUUCUGGUGGUCACAGGGCCGAGUGCCCACGACGUGGGGAAGUCAGAUGCACCGCUGCUGAUGUCGGCGGCCAUGCCCUGGAUGGCGCUGCGUCGGUGCGCCCCGCGACAGGGAACACAGGCUCACGCCAUCCACACGAUAGGCGAGGUGUCGACGUGACUGGAACGUAUAUGGCGGCCGGCCCCUCGCACUGCGUGCUGGUGUGUGACGCCUGAGUGCCACCGUGAGGGAGAUGCACCAGGUGGCGACCGGCAUAGUGGGGGUGGGUAGAGUUUAUCUUUAUGGAGCAGGGGCCGUGCUCUCCGAUGACCAGGUCGGCGCAUCGCUGUGGGGCGUGUGCACGGCUGCUUUGCAGCCGCGCGAUGGGCCCUGUGACAGGCCGAUGGGUCGCGCGGCGUUUGGCCUGAUGCUCUGUGGCAGUGUACGGACACGUUGGAAAAGCAAACCUAAUACAUGGAUACCAUUCUUCUCACCUAUGCCCCUCCCCUCUCUCUCUUUCCGAUUCGUUCUGGCAGUGUGUGCCGCGCGCUGUGUGUUGCUCCUCCACCGAGCAGCGAGCAGUUGUGCUACCUUAGUGCAUUUCCUUCACAUUUUGUUUUGCUUUCUCUCUGUCAUAGUUUUUUUGUGCGCCGCUUGCUCCAUCCCGCCCCCUCGAACCUACUCAUAUUGCGUUGGGCCGACUGCCGUUGCUGGCAAGAGUUGUGUGUGUGUGCGCAACGCCUCUGUUCGGUGCGGUCCAACAAGUCCUUCCCGACUUUCCGCCCUUUGUUGUUUUUUUUUUUGUGCUCCCGCUCUUGACUGUCCCAGCGAUUCCUUGCGGCUUGCAGGGGAUAUAACAUCGGCAAUGAGCACCGACAAUGACAUUGAGCGCCAGAUCAUGAUGGAGAUGGAGGCAGAGAUCAGUCGAUCGCAGGGGAAUCGUCGCGAUCCUUACACCAACCCGCCGCCCUUUGAACUCAGCUUUAUCGAGGACGAUCCCAUGGAGGCGGCCCGGAAGGCAGAGGUGGACCGGAUUCAGCGUGAAAUCGAAGAGCGCCUCCGCCGAAAGCAGCAGCAGAAGCAGCGUGACUCUCUGGAGCUAUCACCGAACUGCUCGGCCAAUGAAGGUGAAAUGAGUGCUGUCUACGACUCUUUACAGCAGCCCCAGAACGCUGCCUGGCCCGUUGGAGCCCAUGAUCGUCACGUGGUUCGCGCGUCGCUUAGCAGUGAGUCGGAGAACCGCGAGAAGGCGGAAGAAGCAUCACGUCUUCGCGAAGACGAGGCAGCAAUGACGAGGAGAGAGACAGACGAGGAAGCGCGAAUUGAUAUGGAGGUGCAGGUGAGAAGAAGUGCCGAGAUUCAAGCGCUACGCGAAGCUGAGGAGCAGGCCCGUCGCGUGGCUGAGGAGCAGGCCCGUCGCGAAGCUGAGGAGCAGGCGCGCCGCGAAGCUGAGGAGCAGGCGCGCCGCGAAGCUGAGGAGCAGGCGCGUCGCGUGGCUGAGGAGCAGGCCCGUCGCGUGGCUGAGGAGCAGGCGCGCCGCGAAGCUGAGGAGCAGGCGCGUCGCGUGGCUGAGGAGCAGGCCCGUCGCGUGGCUGAGGAGCAGGCGCGCCGCGAAGCUGAGGAGCAGGCGCGUCGCGUGGCUGAGGAGCAGGCCGUCGCGAGCUGAGGAGCAGGCGCGCGCGGCUGAGGAGCAGGCCGUCGCGGCUGAGGAGCAGGCCGCGCGAAGCUGAGGAGCAGGCGCGUCGCGUGGCUGAGGAGCAGGCCCGUCGCGGGCUGAGGAGCAGGCGCGCCGCGAAGCUGAGGAGCAGGCGCGUCGCGUGGCUGAGGAGCAGGCCCGUCGCGAAGCUGAGGAGCAGGCGCGUCGCGUGGCUGAGGAGCAGGCCGUCGCGUGGCUGAGGAGCAGGCCGUCGCGAGCUGAGGAGCAGGCGCGCCGCGAAGCUGAGGAGCAGGCGCGUCGCGUGGCUGAGGAGCAGGCCCGUCGCGUGGCUGAGGAGCAGGCGCGCGCGAAGCUGAGGAGCAGGCGCGCCGCGAAGCUGAGGAGCAGGCCGUCGCGUGGCUGAGGAGCAGGCGCGUCGCGUGGCUGAGGAGCAGGCCGUCGCGAAGCUGAGGAGCAGGCGCGUCGCGUGGCUGAGGAGCAGGCCCGUCGCGUGGCUGAGGAGCAGGCGCGCGCGAAGCUGAGGAGCAGGCGCGUCGCGUGGCUGAGGAGCAGGCCGUCGCGAAGCUGAGGAGCAGGCGCGUCGCGUGGCUGAGGAGCAGGCGCGCGGCUGAGGAGCAGGCGCGCGGGCUGAGGAGCAGGCCCGUCGCGUGGCUGAGGAGCAGGCCGCGCGGCUGAGGAGCAGGCCCGUCGCGUGGCUGAGGAGCAGGCCCGUCGCGUGGCUGAGGAGCAGGCCGUCGCGUGGCUGAGGAGCAGGCGCGUCGCGAAGCUGAGGAGCAGGCGCGUCGCGUGGCUGAGGAGCAGGCCCGUCGCGUGGCUGAGGAGCAGGCCCGUCGCGUGGCUGAGGAGCAGGCCCGUCGCGUGGCUGAGGAGCAGGCGCGUCGCGUGGCUGAGGAGCAGGCCCGUCGCGAAGCUGAGGAGCAGGCUGGUGGUCUGGAGGAGGUUCUUCGUGAGGCGCGCGCCGUGGUCAUGGGAGAGUUCUCAGAGAAACUGAAGCAGCACAGCGCUGUUGCCGCUUUCGUGAGUGAUACUGAUGAGAAGCCGGUGAACUCCGCGAGCGCGACGCACAGAGGCGACGCCCGCUGGCAGAAUGAAUACACGGAGCAGGGGGGCACCGGUGCAGAUGCUGAGGAGGAGCACGGGGUGCAGCAGCAUGACUCGCGGUGUUGCCGUUACCGAACGAGCAGUCCGUCCGUGAGCGACCGCGACAUGCGAAGCGAGAGAAGCACAAACUCUAAAGACUCUGCCUCCGAGACGGUUAGCCGGUACUCUUUGUCUACCCUGGAAGCCAUCCGGAAUGACAACGGCAUCCUCUCUCGGACGGAGGAAGAAGUCUACUACGUGCCGCGCGUAACGAAAGAGGCGCCGUUUGAGAGUUUUGAGGAGGCUCUGUCCGCGGAGCUGAAAGCACACGGGCUCACAGAGGAUGCGAUCCGGCGCAGCUGCAUUGAAGUGCACCGAUACGGGACCAUCCGCGAGUCCGGCAAGUGCUUGUUUCCUCCGAGAGAGGUCACGGGGGAGGUGCCGGCGCACGGGAAGGUGCAGCUGGGUUUCUUCUCAGCCAAGCAGACGAUCAUCGCCCUCCAGCGUCCACUUCGGAAGCCGAACGCAGACCGCGAGCGACCAUGUGAACCGGGCGAGCGCUCGCUGAGCACCCUCAAGUGCUACUUCGAGUCUGAGGUGCUGAGUGAUCACACCCUGACGGUGGACGACGAGGAUUACCCGCACAACGCUCCCACGGAGCGCCUGCUGACAAAGGCGCAACUGAUGAGAGGCGACAAUGCCAUGGUACGGAAGGCUGUCUCGCAGAUUUCGUACGGCGACCCGAUCCAGGUGUGGGAGCGCGCGCAGCAGAACAGCACGGCGGCGGAUGAAGCGGCGACCGAGUCGACGGCAGCGAACUUGUGGGUAAGCGACAUCGACACCCGCAAACCCGUUCCCGCAAUGCGCACCUUUACCGGAGGCUUUGUGUACUGCAUCAAGGCGACGAAGAUCAGCAACCGAGUGAUAGAGCUGCAUGGAGCAAGCACCGAUCCUCUCGUCAUCGCAGCCGCGCUGUACAGCUGGACAGAGCGGCAGAAGGUAAAGGUCUCCGAAACGUUCUACUUCGAUUCCGAGCUGGACAUCUUCUACCCUCAAAAGGAGCGCAGCGAGCUCGCCAAGAAGAAUCAGGUUGUCGCCUUUGUGCCGAACGAGUUCAAGGGAACGCUGCACCUCGUGAUGCGUGUGUACCGACCCUGCUGCGAGGAGUACGACACCUACGUUGAUUUGUACAGUCGCGCAGACCGCUACAAGCAGAUCCACGUUGCACCUAUGAAGCAGGAGACGUUGCUGCUGACUCAAGUGUCCGACGUGCUGGAGGAGCUAGGCUGGAACUCGGUUCCGCUCCAGGACGAGGCAAACCACCUGCUUCCGAGGGUUGCCGUCGAUCGCCUUUACCGCAAGGCCUUCUCUAACGAAGACGUGUUCAAGGUAAUGAAGGACGAGCGCUGGCGCGGAGCUCAGAAGGCGCUGCCGGUGGACAUGGUCUUCUCCAUCUCAGAUCUGAGCAGGCACGAAGUGGCGUUUCCCUCCGACCACCCAGAGACGCCGCCGGAGGAGAACGAGUCGAAGGUAAGUCUGCUAGACCCUGACUUGCCGGGCGCUCGCCCGGUCAUCUACCGUUACUCGCCGUGCUGCAUCCCCAUCCUCAACUCCGGUUACUUCACGACAUAUAACAACGUGUACUAUUUCUCCGUGUCUAGGCUGAAGGUGAUGUACGCCGGCUUCGUCCGCAGCAUCCCUGCUUCGCAUCACACUUACGUCUUUCAGCUUUGUGUGAAGGACAAGGACGACGGACUCUCGGAGGAGGGCGCGAUCAGGUGCAUCUACGGGCGCGGGCUGUCGAACCUGUCGAUGGAGACGACGGCGUGGUCGUCCUCGGUACACAACUCGAAUGACAUGGUGCUUAGCGACGAGUUCAAGCUGCAGCUGCCGCUAAACCUCUCCGACCGCCACCACAUCUUCAUGACCCUCUACGCCACAUGCCAGAGGAAAAUGCCACCGACGCCUGGGCAGCCACGUAUGUUUAAAAUCGGCUACGCCGCUGUGCCACUGAUGAUGAACGGCGUUGUGCAGGUGCGCGACAGCAUCGACAUCAAGUUUGUUUCGUAUGACCAGGCAGCCGUCGCGGCCGCGGGCGGGUAUCUGACGAGCUUUGCUGAGGCCCCCGUGAACUUCCUGCUCAAUAACGGCGAGGGCGUUGUCAAGGCUUCGAGUCAGACCAAGACAACGGUUCACGCAUCCAACCGCGUCAUUGCAUCUGUCUUCCAGCAGUGCCCGUCCUCGAUUGCAGAGAUGAGGAAGAACGACAAGGUGCUCGAUGAGUGCGGCGCGCUGCAGAAGCUGCCUGCGAUGGAGGUCGACCCGCAUCGUAACGUGAUCAGUCUCAUUGCGCAGCUUCCGUUGGCAGAGAUUCUGGCCUUCUACCCUUUCCUCACCGCGUACGCCUUCUCCCUCAUCGGCUCCGGCUCGGCGACGGUGUCGCUGGCUAACCGCAUUCACAUGCUCGACGUCCUUUUAGGGAUUACUUCCAAGGCGCAGCAGUACGACACAUCAGCGCACACGAUUCGUCGACGCCACAACAGCGAAGGUCUGACACCGCAAGUGUUCGCCAAGACGAGCGUUGGAAGUAUACUGUACCACUUCCUGUCCAAUGACACCCUCUACGAAGGCGCCAAGUGUGAGUACAAGCGUCGCCUCUACAGUGGCAUGGUCGAGGCAUGGCUGAACCUACUUAAGAUGGUAGCGCAGCAGCCAAACGGUAUCGGAGCCGACUCAGCGAAGGAAAAGAGCGGCACUUCCGCGCCUUCUUCCUCACCUGCUAGCCCUGCUAGUCUUGCCCGUGGCAGCAAGGCCCCGCCGCCGGCUCGCAGUAUCCUGCGUGAGAUGAGCAAUCUGUCGUGGUUUCUCUUUGACACAAUUCUGCGGUCCAUGUACCUCUGGGGAGCCGAGAACCCGACAGUGCCCCGCCAGGAGCUCUUCCACUCGUCUUUUUACACCGCCGUGGCGGAGCUCUGCAUUGUGGCGCUGUCUCAGCUGUCAACAUUCGAUGAGAGUCAGCUUGUGCGCCACGUCGCCAUCUUUGUGCGCAGCCUGAUGCACUACGCCGACCGUGGCCGCGUGCUGAUGAUCUACGAGCGCAUCGCUGCUUACUUCGAGGAGGACGGCAACUUUGAGAGCCUCACCAACUUCCUCAAGUACGUGCUGGAGGACCCGGAUGCGAUUUACCUGCUGCUGCCCUCCGCCGGAGCGGCCCGUCCCGUCUUCCUCACGCGCAUUGUUGUUCACUCGUUCACCAUUCUCAUGAUCAACCCGAACCGUGUGACGCGAUCGAUCGCCACCGACGUGCUGUACUCAUUUCUGCGUCGCCUCGCCAACGACUCAAGCACUCCCAGCGAGAAUCUCACCUGCAUCGCGGCACAGCUGUUCGCCCUGGUGCGCAACCUAGGCCCGCACUGGAAGGCCAUUACGCAGCCUAACGACAAGAUACCGAUUGAGGUGUUUCAGCGUGACAAGCAGCAGCUGUCCAUGACAUGCUUGUGGAUUCUCUACUACACGCCCCGCAGCACGUUCCGGCAAUGGCUGCAGGAAGAGGUGGACGGAAAGGUGAUCGCUGGCAUGAUGCAGAUUGUGGCCGAGUCGCAGUCGACCUUCCGCUACACCGCCGCCCCCGCUUCCUCGAGUGCCGCCGGCCCCGUCGCGGGCGUUGCAAAGGACGCGGCAAACGAGGAGGUGGAGGAGAGGCGGGCGUGGGAGGCGCGCAGCACAACCUUUGUGACUGCAAUCGGAACGCAAAUGUGCAGCCUCUUCUUGAACGAGAUUCCGAGUAUAUUGCGCACUGUGCGCGACAACAACCCUAACGCCGCCGUGUUCCCGUUCUUUGUCAUGCUGGAGUCCGUUCUCAACCUGGGAAACUCCACCAUAUCCCUGCAAAUGAGCUCCGCUGUGAUGCACGAGGUGGUGUGCAAGCUGUUCCCGGAGAUCAUCAGCCGCAAGGCGAGGAUGGGGAACGGCAUGGUCCUGCUCACCUUCCGUCUCAUGAGCAGCUGCUGCCAGUAUGUUCGCUCCUCGGCCAGCUGCACGUUCCUGCUGAUGAGUCAGGCCUUCUUCUCCUGGAAGAACUCUCUGUCCAAGAUCAGGUCGCUGACUGCCAACGCGCUCGUCUCUGUGGCCGAGUCGCGCGUGAGGGACCUGCGCCUUGCUGGGCGCUUCAUCGAGUUUCAGUUUGACGAGCUGAUUGAGAGGGCCAAGGUGGAGGAGGCAAACUACACGGCGCCGUCGUGCGACUUCGCCUCUCGCUACGAGGACGACUCGAACGCGCCUGGCGGUGAUGCGCAGAUGAAGUACAGGCAAAAGGUCGAGGGCCAGGUUAUGAGCGUGCAGCGCAAUCUCCCCAUCUCGCGCUACUUGCUGGAGAAGUCGAACGUGCCAGACCAACAGCCACCACGCUUCUCUAGCGACUUUACCGCCAUGACGGCGACGGUGCUCAGCCUCUUCGACGAUGUCUUGCGUCUGCAGAUGGACGACUCAAUGAAGUUCAAGGAAGCGAGGGCGACGGCGUAUUUUGAGGUCUUUCGAAACUUCCUACGGCAGAACGCGCUAAAGGAAGCCCUAAAGUGGCUCUACCGCCUGCACGACGCACACAGGGCAAACAGCGACUACCUGGAGGCUGGCAUGGUGCUGGUGUUCAUUGCUGCCCUGUGCUUCCGCGUCACGGAGGUGUUCUACUUUGUCAAAGGGAAAGACUCGAAGGGGGCCCGCAUGCCGUUUGAGGUUCUCUCGCACGUGUUCUGGCACGACUACGUGCGCAUCCUACCCGAGGUGGAUGCGCUGCUUCCCGCAGACACGGUGUACGCAAUUGUGUCGGAGCUGUACACAUGCCCCGACGACAUGUGCUUCUCCAUGGAGGGCCAGGUGAAGGCGCUGAAGGAGGCGGCCGAGUUUCAGGACAAAGGCCAGUACUACGAGUACUCGCUGCAGACAAUAGACAUUGCGAACAAGUACCUGAUGGCGGUCAGCGACUUCAAAGGAUCGUCGGUGGUGCACAUGGCCAUGUCCACCUGGUGUACCGCCAUUGCAGAGCCCAAGUCGAAGCGGCACAACAGUCGCUACUUCUUCCUGUGGGCACGCAUGGAACGCCACACUUUGCCCAAGUCGCGCAAGGAGCUGCAUGAGGACGCGAACGACAGUAAGGUAGGCGAGAAGCCGCGCGGGCUGCCAAACGGCAACCCGAUCCGCCGCAUCUACAAGAUGUCCACCGCCACCACGCUGGAAGAGUUCAAGAACUACGCGAGGUCGUACGUGGAGUCGCUCUUCUUUGACACAUCGCUGGUGCUGCUGACAGACGACUUGACAGAGACCUUGCCGGCCCUGCCGGAGCCGGACUCGAAGCGCAAGCGCGUUGCUGCCGUGCACCGUCAACCAAAUCAUUGCCUUGUGACAGUGAGCGAGGUGCAGCCGUACUUCGCCAAGGGCACUCGCGUGCCCCCUGACGGCUUCGACCGGUCUAUGCACAUCAGCUACUUUGAGAAUACCGUGAACGUCGGCAGCCGCGACGAGGUUUCGGACGGUCGCAAGCUGGACCUUAUGACGCAGCGCAUGAGCGUGAACACUUACGAACUGGAGCGCUCCUUUCCCUCCACGACGUCGGCCAUCGACAUUGCGAAGACGCAUCAGGUAGUUCUCAACCCGUUCGAGACUGCAGAGGAGAUGCUGAACAGCCGUCGCGAGGCCAUGAACCAAGCCCCCGUCAACGAUGCCUUGAUCACAGUAAUCCGCAAAGCCCUCUCACCAAAGGAGCUGCCGCCCGGUGCGUACAUGAAGGAGGUGAUCGCGGUCAUGGGAGACCACCCUGAGGUGAUUCAUGCUGUGCGGGCGCUCAGCACUCUCGCUCGUGCAAAGCUGGAGGCCUGCGAGAAGAUGGAGGCCAUGUCCAAGAACCCUGAAGACUACGCGCUAGUGCUGAAGGCGGUGACCGAUAUCGAGUGCUGUUUGGUGGCUAUGCAGCAUCCCGACGAGAAUGACCACGCUAGCAGCAGCGGCAUGUAGAAAGGGCUGCGGCGGUAAGCUGUGUAUACGCCCUGCUUUGGCUUCUGCUUUGGCGCCCGCGACGUGUGUGCGGAGGGGGAUGCGCAUUGUCCUUGUUGCAUGUUUUUUUUUCCUCUAAUCGUCAUGCGUAGGCCGCGGACGAACCGUGAGGCGAUCUGUCGUGUAAUGGAUGCGCCUGUGCGCGUCUUGUCAUCUUCACCUGUUGCGCCCAAACGUGCGCUGAUGAUGAAAUCAUCUCUUUCGUGCGCUGUCUCCAGCCUCACGUCGGCUCUCUUUCUCUUCUUUUUUUUUUGGGGGGGGGCUCUUCCGACGCGUGCUUCGCACUCAAAGGGCCAUGCUGUGCCUGAGCUUAGCAGAUGGCUCUAUCCACCACUCCGACUCCCUGCUCAACGCGCGGUGCCGUUGUGCUGCGGGCACCGCAGGAGUAUUCCCAUCCGUGUGCCUGUGUGCGAGCCAAUGUGUAUGUGUCUUUUUUAGCGUAUUUUUGACCACCAGCAACUAGCUUAGCAAACAACGAAAAAGGACCACCAUUCGAGCACAGAAAGGGGAGCCUGGCGCCCAUUUCAUUCGCGUUCUGUCUUGCCGGCGGGGGCUGCAGUGACAGGCACUUCGUGUUAUGUCUGUGCUAAGCUGUGUUUGUUUUCCCCUCGUCUCUCCUGCUUGCGCACCUUUUCGUUUCUGUGACUCUCUUCCUCUACCUCCCUUGCACAUCCGCAUGUGUGUUGUUAUUGCGAUUGUUGUUCGUCCGCGCCCGCGGCGUUUUCUCCUCCAUUUUUCGUUGCUGAGGCUUCGUUGUUUUGUGUCUCUCACACCUUCGUGCGUCCUAAUCACGACAACUCAACUCACGCACGACGGGUGAUAACAGCGGAGGUGUGGUUUCGCCGUUAAGGUGAGCGCUCAAACGUGAUCGCUGCCGUUACACGACCUCUUAACCACGCCGCGACACUCGCUGCCCCGGCAAGGACGAAGCGUGCUUGGGUGGUAUCACGUACCCGUCCCGGCUCGCGCGCGCUCCGGUGCAUUCCUAUGCCCGCAGACAAGUCGCUCUGGAAAGCAGCCGGUGCUGGUUAACCGUGCCAGUGCUACCUUCUUAUGCGGUUGAACGAUGGCCUGUGGUAGCUGCUGCCGGCUUGGCGUGCAAGCGAAGAUGGAGCGAUGCUGCUUUAGCUGGUGCUGUGCUCGAUGCUAGCGGCUCACAUAGGAAUUCUCUGUCAUCCUCCGUGC
Molecule: unclassified non-coding RNA, 10041 nt
Filed under: Leishmania donovani
Lineage: Eukaryota; Euglenozoa; Kinetoplastea; Trypanosomatida; Trypanosomatidae
Description: gene:LdHU3.29.0160(CDS-product:C2_domain_in_Dock1 80_and_Zizimin_proteins_putative)
Source: RNAcentral